This 370-nucleotide ribosomal RNA is filed under the name uncultured organism. RNAcentral describes it as "partial 16S ribosomal RNA". It matches the Rfam family "Bacterial small subunit ribosomal RNA", at positions 527 to 896 of the family's 1533-position model. The record is from RNAcentral.
GUAGGUGGCAAGCGUUGUCCGGAAUUAUUGGGCGUAAAGCGCGCGCAGGCGGUUCUUUAAGUCUGAUGUGAAAGCCCACGGCUCAACCGUGGAGGGUCAUUGGAAACUGGAGAACUUGAGUACAGAAGAGGAAAGCGGAAUUCCACGUGUAGCGGUGAAAUGCGUAGAGAUGUGGAGGAACACCAGUGGCGAAGGCGGCUUUCUGGUCUGUAACUGACGCUGAGGCGCGAAAGCGUGGGGAGCAAACAGGAUUAGAUACCCUGGUAGUCCACGCCGUGAACGAUGAGUGCUAAGUGUUAGGGGGUUUCCGCCCCUUAGUGCUGCAGCUAACGCAUUAAGCACUCCGCCUGGGAGUACGGCCGCAAGGCUG